This 253-nucleotide ribosomal RNA is filed under the name uncultured bacterium. RNAcentral's name for it is "partial 16S ribosomal RNA". It matches the Rfam family "Bacterial small subunit ribosomal RNA", at positions 524 to 776 of the family's 1533-position model. The record is from RNAcentral.
UACAGAGGGGGCAAGCGUUGUUCGGAAUCACUGGGCGUAAAGCGCACGUAGGCGGACUCUUAAGUCGGUGGUGAAAUCCUGGAGCUCAACUCCAGAACUGCCUUCGAUACGGGGAGUCUCGAGUUCGGGAGAGGUGAGUGGAACUGCGAGUGUAGAGGUGAAAUUCGUAGAUAUUCGCAAGAACACCAGUGGCGAAGGCGGCUCACUGGCCCGAUACUGACGCUGAGGUGCGAAAGCGUGGGGAGCAAACAGG